Molecule: ribosomal RNA, 468 nt
Filed under: uncultured bacterium
Lineage: Bacteria
Description: partial 16S ribosomal RNA
Rfam family: Bacterial small subunit ribosomal RNA
Source: RNAcentral
GACGAACGCUGGCGGCGUGCUUAACACAUGCAAGUCGAACGGAAAGGCCCUGCUUUGGUGGGGUGCUCGAGUGGCGAACGGGUGAGUAACACGUGAGUAACCUUCCCUUUACUUUGGGAUAACUUCAGGAAACUGGGGCUAAUACCGGAUAGGAGCUCCUGCUGCAUUGGGGGGGUUGGAAAGUUUCGGCCGUUGGGGAUGUACUCGCGGCUUAUCAGCUUGUUGGUGGGGUAGUGGCUUACCAAGGCUUUGACGGGUAGCCGGCCUGAGAGGGUGACCGGCCACCUUGGGACUGCGAUACGGACCAGAAUCCUACGGGAGGCAGCAGUGGAGAAUAUUGCACAAUGGGCGGAAGCCUGAUGCAGCAACGCCGCGUGCGGGAUGACGGCCUUCGGGUUGUAAACCGAUUUCGCCUGUGACGAAGCGUGAGUGACGGUAAUGGGUAAAGAAGCACCGGCUAACUACGUG